CCGACUGGGUCUCCAGUCGGUACGUCUGGUUCAGGGUUGNA
This 41-nucleotide ribosomal RNA is filed under the name Caenorhabditis remanei. RNAcentral describes it as "partial 5.8S ribosomal RNA". The record is from RNAcentral. Lineage: Eukaryota; Metazoa; Nematoda; Chromadorea; Rhabditida; Rhabditidae.